AAACUCUGUUUCUUUAUGUAACUUCUGAGUAUAACCAUAAAUAAAUAAAAACUUUUUACAACGGAUCUCUUGUUUCUGGCAUCUAUGAAAAACGCACCAAAAUGCGAUAAGUAAUGUGAAUUGCAGAAUUCUGUGAAUCAUCGAAUCUUUGAACGCACAUUGCGCCCGCCAGUAUUCUGGCGGGCAUGCCUGUUCGAGCGUCAUUUCAACCCUCAAGCACAGCUUGGUGUUGGGACUCGCGUUAAUUCGCGUUCCUCAAAUUGAUUGGAGGUCACGUCCAGCUUCCAUAGCGUAGUAUUAAAACCCUCGUUACUGGUAAUCGUCGCGGCCACGCCGUUAAACCCCAACUUCUGAAUGUUGACCUCGGAUCAGGUAGGAAUACCCGCUGAACUUAAGCA
Molecule: ribosomal RNA, 398 nt
Filed under: Fusarium oxysporum f. sp. lycopersici
Lineage: Eukaryota; Fungi; Ascomycota; Sordariomycetes; Hypocreales; Nectriaceae
Description: eukaryotic LSU rRNA
Rfam family: 5.8S ribosomal RNA (bases 50-203)
Source: RNAcentral